Molecule: ribosomal RNA, 880 nt
Filed under: uncultured bacterium
Lineage: Bacteria
Description: bacterial SSU rRNA
Rfam family: Bacterial small subunit ribosomal RNA
Source: RNAcentral
AAAGCGAGCGGCGGAUGGGUGAGUAACACGUGGGGAACCUGCCCCUAAGCCUGGGAUACCAUUUGGAAACAGGUGCUAAUACCGGAUAAUAAAGCAGAUCGCAUGAUCAGCUUUUGAAAGGCGGCGUAAGCUGUCGCUAAGGGAUGGCCCCGCGGUGCAUUAGCUAGUUGGUAAGGUAACGGCUUACCAAGGCGACGAUGCAUAGCCGAGUUGAGAGACUGAUCGGCCACAUUGGGACUGAGACACGGCCCAAACUCCUACGGGAGGCAGCAGUAGGGAAUCUUCCACAAUGGACGCAAGUCUGAUGGAGCAACGCCGCGUGAGUGAAGAAGGUUUUCGGAUCGUAAAGCUCUGUUGUUGGUGAAGAAGGAUAGAGGUAGUAACUGGCCUUUAUUUGACGGUAAUCAACCAGAAAGUCACGGCUAACUACGUGCCAGCAGCCGCGGUAAUACGUAGGUGGUAAGCGUUGUCCGGAUUUAUUGGGCGUAAAGCGAGCGCAGGCGGAAAAAUAAGUCUAAUGUGAAAGCCCUCGGCUUAACCGAGGAACUGCAUCGGAAACUGUUUUUCUUGAGUGCAGAAGAGGAGAGUGGAACUCCAUGUGUAGCGGUGGAAUGCGUAGAUAUAUGGAAGAACACCAGUGGCGAAGGCGGCUCUCUGGUCUGCAACUGACGCUGAGGCUCGAAAGCAUGGGUAGCGAACAGGAUUAGAUACCCUGGUAGUCCAUGCCGUAAACGAUGAGUGCUAAGUGUUGGGAGGUUUCCGCCUCUCAGUGCUGCAGCUAACGCAUUAAGCACUCCGCCUGGGGAGUACGACCGCAAGGUUGAAACUCAAAGGAAUUGACGGGGGCCCGCACAAGCGGUGGAGCAUGUGGUUUAAUUCG